Molecule: long non-coding RNA, 449 nt
Filed under: Astyanax mexicanus (Mexican tetra)
Lineage: Eukaryota; Metazoa; Chordata; Actinopteri; Characiformes; Acestrorhamphidae
Description: lncRNA (ENSAMXG00005023631.1)
Source: RNAcentral
CGCGGGAUGGGCGACGAUCGCCGCCAGUCUUCCUGCGCGCUCUCUCUCUCUCGCUUUCUCUCUCUCUCUAUCUAUCUCUCUCGUUCUUUUUCUCUCGGGUUCUGAGCCGCACAGCCGGAGGGUCUCUCACGGGCUUCUCAGCUCUGCUCUGGGGUCUCCGCGAGCCCCCCUGGAACGAAGGGAUGCACGGAGAGAGGGAUGAGGAGGGACGAGCUCGCCGAGCGCGAGGAGAAAAUGAUGACCAUCCAGCCUUACGGCAGCACCCACAGGCAAAGCUGUUCUCCAACCACAUAAAAAUAGGAACAUUAAUCUCAUUCACCAAACAUCUUGAAGUCCAAGCUUCGGUUCUCUGAGUUGGAGGCCACCAACUAUUCCUGCUGUCCUCAGAACUCCUCAGAAGGCCUAAAAAGCUACCAAUUUCAAGGUAAUAAUGUAAUUUUCUAACCUCA